Molecule: long non-coding RNA, 434 nt
Organism: Sardina pilchardus (European sardine)
Lineage: Eukaryota; Metazoa; Chordata; Actinopteri; Clupeiformes; Clupeidae
Exons: 4
Source: RefSeq, a predicted model, not a curated record
AAAGUGUAAGUCAGUUGUGACUUUGGAAAAGCAGAUAGAAACAAAUGAAACCCAAAUACUAGAACUCACCAAGGAGGUUGAGAAGAUAAAUAGUGAAAUCCUUCAAUUGCAGAGCAAAGUAACCAUCUUGUCUGAUGAACGUGAGGACUUGGAGAAAACCCUUGAAACAGCUAUGAAUGAACAGAAAACCUUGAAGGAAAUUACACAACAGCUGGAGACUAAGCUACAAGAAUCUGAAGACCAGUUAUCAGUUGCCCAAAGAGAGGAAGUAGAGUUAGAGAAGGAGAUAGAGAGACUGAAGAAGGACACUGAGAAACAUGAGGAGGAAUGUAAGAAACUGACAGAAAAUUUGAAUCAGCUGAUGAUACAGAAGAACACAAUUCUGCAACAAGUGGAAGGGAGCACAUCUGAGACUAAGGCUCUUGAAAGCCUUC